RNAcentral lists this ribosomal RNA (425 nucleotides) under uncultured bacterium. RNAcentral's name for it is "bacterial SSU rRNA". It matches the Rfam family "Archaeal small subunit ribosomal RNA", at positions 322 to 746 of the family's 1478-position model. The record is from RNAcentral.
CCUACGGGGGGCAGCAGUCGGGAAAAUUUUGCAAUGCGCGAAAGCGUGACAGAGCAAGCCAGAGUGCGUCUCUAUUUUUGAGACGCUUUUGUGAGAUGUAGAUAGUCUUACGAAUAAGGACUGGGAGAGACUGGUGCCAGCCGCCGCGGUAAUCCCAGCAGUCCAAGUCGCAGCCACAUUUGUUGGGUCUAAAACAUCCGUAGCUUGCUUUGUAAGUCGUGUGUGAAAUCUGGCCUCUUAAGGGUCGGGCGUGCACACGAUACUGCAAAGCUUGAGACCGGGAGACGCAGGGAGUACAUAUGGGGUAGCGGUAAAAUGUGUUGAUCCUAUAUGGACUAACAAUAGCGAAGGCACCCUGCGAGAACGGAUCUGACAGUGAGGGAUGAAGGCUAGGGGCGCAAAGUGGAUUAGAUACCCCAGUAGUC